RNAcentral lists this ribosomal RNA (375 nucleotides) under uncultured bacterium. RNAcentral's name for it is "bacterial SSU rRNA". It matches the Rfam family "Bacterial small subunit ribosomal RNA", at positions 524 to 898 of the family's 1533-position model. The record is from RNAcentral.
UACGGAGGGUGCAAGCGUUAAUCGGAAUUACUGGGCGUAAAGCGCACGCAGGCGGUCUGUCAAGUCGGAUGUGAAAUCCCCGGGCUCAACCUGGGAACUGCAUCCGAAACUGGCAGGCUAGAGUCUUGUAGAGGGGGGUAGAAUUCCAGGUGUAGCGGUGAAAUGCGUAGAGAUCUGGAGGAAUACCGGUGGCGAAGGCGGCCCCCUGGACAAAGACUGACGCUCAGGUGCGAAAGCGUGGGGAGCAAACAGGAUUAGAUACCCUGGUAGUCCACGCCGUAAACGAGGUCGAAGUGGAGGUUGUGCCCGGGAGGCGUGGCUUCCGGAGCUAACGCGUUAAGUCGACCGCCUGGGGAGUACGGCCGCAAGGUUAAA